This is a long non-coding RNA of Humulus lupulus (European hop), 353 nucleotides long. RefSeq lists it as uncharacterized. The transcript is spliced from 2 exons. Lineage: Eukaryota; Viridiplantae; Streptophyta; Magnoliopsida; Rosales; Cannabaceae. The record is from RefSeq and is a predicted model, not a curated record.
GUGCGGUAUCUACUGCAUGAAGUAUGCUAGGGAUCUCAUUUCACAACAAAGAACCAGAGCAUAUCUAUCGAAUAAUUUCAAUUCAGAUUUACCAUAUACUGACGCAGAACUUAAUGAAGUUCAAGAAGAGUGGGCAAAAUAUAUUCUACCGCAACUCGCUAAAUGAUGGCAUGCUUGCUUAGUACCUAUGUGAGGGGAUUUAAUCAUUUUUUGAACUUUUUAUUUCUUUUAUUAGAAAUUGUUAGAACUAAUCAAAUACAGAAUCAAUCUAACAAAUUAUAUGUAGUUAAUUUAGCUUUUUGAGGUGUAUACUGUGCUAAAUAUUCAUUUUAUGACAAACUUUUUUGGAACUA